Molecule: ribosomal RNA, 535 nt
Filed under: uncultured bacterium
Lineage: Bacteria
Description: partial 16S ribosomal RNA
Rfam family: Bacterial small subunit ribosomal RNA
Source: RNAcentral
UCCUACGGGAGGCACCAGUGGGGAAUAUCGGACAAUGGUCGAAAGCAUGAUCCAGCAAGCCGCGUGUGUGAAGAAGGCCUGCGGGUUGUAAAGCACUUUUAUGAAGGAAGAAACGGCCUGGGUUAAUAACCCAUGGCAAUCGACGGUAGUUCAGGAAUAAGCACCGGCUAACUCCGNGCCAGCAGCCGCGGUAAUACGGAGGGUGGGAGCGUUAAUCGGAAUUACUGGGCGUAAAGCGUGCGCAGGCGGCUUUAAGUCGGAUGUGAAAUCCCCGGGCUUAACCUGGGAAUUGCAUUCGAUACUGGGAAGCUAGAGUCUGGAAGAGGAGAGUGGAAUUUCGGNUUAGCGGUGAAAUGCGUAGAUAUCCGAAGGAACAUCAGUGGCGAAGGCGACUNUNUGGUCCAAGACUGACGCUCAGGCACGAAAGCGUGGGGAGCAAACACGAUCAGAUACCCUGGUAGUCCUCGCCCUAAACGAUGAGAACUAGCCGUUGGGUUCAUUUAUAAGACAGNGGCGNAGNUCNCNGUUCNCCGNG